This 334-nucleotide unclassified non-coding RNA is filed under the name soil metagenome. RNAcentral's name for it is "partial contains 5.8S ribosomal RNA, internal transcribed spacer 2, and large subunit ribosomal RNA". The stretch from base 1 to 120 matches the Rfam family "5.8S ribosomal RNA", at positions 35 to 154 of the family's 154-position model. The record is from RNAcentral.
GAUGAAGAACGUAGCGAAAUGCGAUACGUAAUGUGAAUUGCAGAAUUCAGUGAAUCAUCGAAUCUUUGAACGCACAUUGCGCCCGCCAGUAUUCUGGCGGGCAUGCCUGUUCGAGCGUCAUUUCAACCAUCAAGCCCCAGGCUUGUGUUGGAGCCCUGCGGCUGCCGCAGCCUCCCAAAACCAGUGGCGGGCUCGCUAUCACACCGAGUGCAGUAGUUUACUCUUCGCUCAGGGCGUGUGGCGGGUGCUAGCCGUGAAACCCCCAACUUCUCAAGGUUGACCUCGGAUCAGGUAGGAAUACCCGCUGAACUUAAGCAUAUCAAUAAGCGGAGGA